CGGAUGAAGGGAGCUUGCUCCUGGAUUCAGCGGCGGACGGGUGAGUAAUGCCUAGGAAUCUGCCUGGUAGUGGGGGAUAACGUCCGGAAACGGGCGCUAAUACCGCAUACGUCCUGAGGGAGAAAGUGGGGGAUCUUCGGACCUCACGCUAUCAGAUGAGCCUAGGUCGGAUUAGCUAGUUGGUGGGGUAAAGGCCUACCAAGGCGACGAUCCGUAACUGGUCUGAGAGGAUGAUCAGUCACACUGGAACUGAGACACGGUCCAGACUCCUACGGGAGGCAGCAGUGGGGAAUAUUGGACAAUGGGCGAAAGCCUGAUCCAGCCAUGCCGCGUGUGUGAAGAAGGUCUUCGGAUUGUAAAGCACUUUAAGUUGGGAGGAAGGGCAGUAAGUUAAUACCUUGCUGUUUUGACGUUACCAACAGAAUAAGCACCGGCUAACUUCGUGCCAGCAGCCGCGGUAAUACGAAGGGUGCAAGCGUUAAUCGGAAUUACUGGGCGUAAAGCGCGCGUAGGUGGUUCAGCAAGUUGGAUGUGAAAUCCCCGGGCUCAACCUGGGAACUGCAUCCAAAACUACUGAGCUAGAGUACGGUAGAGGGUGGUGGAAUUUCCUGUGUAGCGGUGAAAUGCGUAGAUAUAGGAAGGAACACCAGUGGCGAAGGCGACCACCUGGACUGAUACUGACACUGAGGUGCGAAAGCGUGGGGA
This 705-nucleotide ribosomal RNA is filed under the name Pseudomonas aeruginosa. RNAcentral describes it as "bacterial SSU rRNA". It matches the Rfam family "Bacterial small subunit ribosomal RNA", at positions 67 to 767 of the family's 1533-position model. The record is from RNAcentral. Lineage: Bacteria; Pseudomonadati; Pseudomonadota; Gammaproteobacteria; Pseudomonadales; Pseudomonadaceae.